GGUGCCUAUAUGAUGAACUAUUUUCGGAUGAAAAACAUUUCUUGUCUGAAUUGCGCAAACAAACCCCAUGUUGAUAUUUCCGUUGCCUUCCUUCUGAUCUGGCCC
RNAcentral lists this small nucleolar RNA (105 nucleotides) under Ophiostoma piceae UAMH 11346. Its description in RNAcentral is "Small nucleolar RNA Z13/snr52". It matches the Rfam family "Small nucleolar RNA Z13/snr52". From Rfam's summary of the family: Z13 or snr52 is a member of the C/D class of snoRNA which contain the C (UGAUGA) and D (CUGA) box motifs. Lineage: Eukaryota; Fungi; Ascomycota; Sordariomycetes; Ophiostomatales; Ophiostomataceae. The record is from Rfam by way of RNAcentral.